GCAGUAGCCACGGGAAAACGGAGGGUGCAAGCGUUAUCCGGAUUUAUUGGGUUUAAAGGGUCCGUAGGCGGACUUAUAAGUCAGUGGUGAAAGCCUGUCGCUUAACGAUAGAACUGCCAUUGAUACUGUAAGUCUUGAGUAUAUUUGAGGUAGCUGGAAUAAGUAGUGUAGCGGUGAAAUGCAUAGAUAUUACUUAGAACACCAAUUGCGAAGGCAGGUUACCAAGAUAUAACUGACGCUGAGGGACGAAAGCGUGGGUAGCGAACAGGAUUAGAUACCCCGGUAGUCCCUGUCUCUUAUAC
This 302-nucleotide ribosomal RNA is filed under the name uncultured bacterium. RNAcentral describes it as "partial 16S ribosomal RNA". It matches the Rfam family "Bacterial small subunit ribosomal RNA", at positions 508 to 807 of the family's 1533-position model. The record is from RNAcentral.